This 249-nucleotide long non-coding RNA is filed under the name Lathyrus oleraceus (garden pea). RNAcentral's name for it is "Pisum sativum (pea) long non-coding RNA (PSAT_LNC007715)". Lineage: Eukaryota; Viridiplantae; Streptophyta; Magnoliopsida; Fabales; Fabaceae. The record is from RNAcentral.
GGGGCUAAAGGUAUGGGGAGGUAGGAUUGUACUAAAAAUAUACUAUAUUUGGUGACUCGUCAAACUCAUGCAUUAUACUAAAAAGCAAAAUAAACAACUAAAAGGAAAUAACAAUAAAUAAACUAUCUAAAAACAACAAAGAAAAAAAAACGAUAAAGAAAAAACGAGAAAAACAAUAAAGAAAAGAUGAUAGAGUCUCCUCCCACACUUAAAUCAAACAUUGUCCCCAAUGUUUCGAAAUAAGAAAAG